This 114-nucleotide ribosomal RNA is filed under the name uncultured bacterium. RNAcentral describes it as "partial 16S ribosomal RNA". It matches the Rfam family "Bacterial small subunit ribosomal RNA", at positions 1360 to 1482 of the family's 1533-position model. The record is from RNAcentral.
CGGUGAAUACGUUCCCGGACCUUGCACACACCGCCCGUCAAGCCAUGGAAGUUGGGUGUACCUAAAGUCGGUAACCGUAAGGAGCCGCCUAGGGUAAAAUCAAUGACUGGGGCU